This is a small nucleolar RNA of Tribolium castaneum (red flour beetle), 85 nucleotides long. It matches the Rfam family "Small nucleolar RNA snR60/Z15/Z230/Z193/J17". From Rfam's summary of the family: The members of this family belong to the C/D class of snoRNAs which contain the C (UGAUGA) and D (CUGA) box motifs. Most of the members of the box C/D family function in directing site-specific 2'-O-methylation of substrate RNAs. Lineage: Eukaryota; Metazoa; Arthropoda; Insecta; Coleoptera; Tenebrionidae. The record is from Rfam.
AUUUAAUCAGUGAUGAAUUCAUAGUUCAAAUGAACUUAAAUGAUUACAACAUUUAAAUGUCUUUCGCUCCUAACUGACUUUAUUU